UCCCUGGUGGUCCAGUGGUUAAAACUUGGUACUUUCAUUGCUGUGGACCCAGGUUCGAUCCCUGGUCUGGGAA
Ovis aries (sheep) is the source of this 73-nucleotide transfer RNA. It matches the Rfam family "tRNA". Rfam says of the family: Transfer RNA (tRNA) molecules are approximately 80 nucleotides in length. Their secondary structure includes four short double-helical elements and three loops (D, anti-codon, and T loops). The record is from Rfam. Lineage: Eukaryota; Metazoa; Chordata; Mammalia; Artiodactyla; Bovidae.